GACGAACGCUGGCGGCGUGCCUAAUACAUGCAAGUCGAGCGGAGUUUUUAAAAGCUUGCUUUUAAAAACUCAGCGGCGGACGGGUGAGUAACACGUGGGCAACCUGCCCUGUAGACUGGGAUAACUUCGGGAAACCGAAGCUAAUACCGGAUAAUCAUAGAAGUUGCAUAGCUUCUAUGUAAAAGUUGGGUUUACCUAACACUACAGGAUGGGCCCGCGUCGCAUUAGCUAGUUGGUAAGGUAACGGCUUACCAAGGCGACGAUGCGUAGCCGACCUGAGAGGGUGAUCGGCCACACUGGGACUGAGACACGGCCCAGACUCCUACGGGAGGCAGCAGUAGGGAAUCUUCCGCAAUGGACGAAAGUCUGACGGAGCAACGCCGCGUGAGCGAUGAAGGCCUUCGGGUCGUAAAGCUCUGUUGUUAGGGAAGAAACAAGUACCCAUCAAAUAAGGGUGGACCUU
This 463-nucleotide ribosomal RNA is filed under the name Bacilli bacterium oral taxon C43. RNAcentral's name for it is "bacterial SSU rRNA". It matches the Rfam family "Bacterial small subunit ribosomal RNA", at positions 28 to 480 of the family's 1533-position model. The record is from RNAcentral. Lineage: Bacteria; Bacillati; Bacillota; Bacilli.